AAGAAACAAUCCUACCUUGUGGAAAUAAAGUUUAUAGAGCAAAACGAAAAUAAAGGAGGUCAGUACUAAAUAUUUCACCAUAUUUAAUAGUACCUCAGAGCCUGCGGCUGGCCUAGACAUUUCAGACUGAUGGCUUAAAACGCGUCCCUCCCAGCACUGUACGAGGCCCAAUUCAAUUCCAGCAGCUACAGAUAAGAGCUUUAGGGUGUUUAGCCAUUCCUCUCUCGUGUCCUUGAGGAAUAGCACAGAACUGCCUUUGUGUUAAGAAGAAGGACCUGUUGUCCAGAUUCAACAGGACUAAACUAUAAAUUCCGCUUCUGAAAUCGAUCUGAACAUGCUCUUGAUCCUACACGCAAAUACACUCGUCACAUCAUGCCCUUCUCUGUUUUAUGAAUGGUUCCUUCGCUGUAUCUCAAUUGUGUCAUAACUUUUCUAAUAUUGUUUCAGUUAUAAUGAGAAUGAAUGUUUUAUGAACAGGCUGAACUUUAUAAAAUGGGAAAAUUCUAACCAUAUGAUUUUUCCUUGAACUUGGAGGGUGGGGGUAGGGAUGAUGAGUAUUUUUUUUUUUAACCUCAAACUCAAUCCAGGCCAUGCUAGAGUUUAUUAGAGUUUGACUAACUCUUAUGGGUGAUCUGCAUUUGACACUGGCAAAUAAACUUACCUUGCUUUUUCCACGAUUU
This is a non-coding RNA of Myodes glareolus (Bank vole), 680 nucleotides long. The record is from RefSeq and is a predicted model, not a curated record. NCBI's taxonomy places the organism in Eukaryota, Metazoa, Chordata, Mammalia, Rodentia, Cricetidae.